CUGCUGCCUUCCGUAGGAGUUUGGUCCGUGUCUCAGUACCAAUGUGGGGGGUUGACCUCUCAGUCCCCCUAUGUAUCGUCGCCUUGGUGAGCCGUUACCUCACCAACUAGCUAAUACAACGCAUGUCCAUCUCUGACCACCCUGAGUUUUCAACCACCGAAGAUGCCUCCGGUGAUGUUAUGGGGUAUUAGUACCAAUUUCUCGAUGUUAUCCCCCUGUCAAAGGUAGGUUACAUACGCGUUACGCACCCGUCCGCCGGUCGCCGG
RNAcentral lists this ribosomal RNA (266 nucleotides) under uncultured bacterium. RNAcentral describes it as "partial 16S ribosomal RNA". The record is from RNAcentral.